ACCCUUCCUCCCAGACCCUCCCACCUCCUGGACAGCUCACUAAGAAUGCAGCUUCACAAUGGAUGCUGUCCAGGAGGUGGGAGGGUCUGGGAGGGAGGGUC
Molecule: microRNA precursor, 101 nt
Filed under: Pelobates cultripes (western spadefoot toad)
Lineage: Eukaryota; Metazoa; Chordata; Amphibia; Anura; Pelobatidae
Source: RNAcentral